RNAcentral lists this unclassified non-coding RNA (4428 nucleotides) under Leishmania donovani. RNAcentral describes it as "gene:LdHU3.20.1560(CDS-product:calpain-like_cyste ine_peptidase_putative)". Lineage: Eukaryota; Euglenozoa; Kinetoplastea; Trypanosomatida; Trypanosomatidae. The record is from RNAcentral.
CUCUUGUGGGACUCUCUCUCUCGAUCUCACUCUUGUUGCAUCUUGUGUCGCUGCUCGCUCGCCUGUGUGUCUGUGUGAAGCUCUUCAUUGCUAGCACUGGGCACGUCACGCACCCACGCACGCACACCGGUCGUUUGACAAACAUUUCUCGACUUUCUUUUAGCGCUUCUGUUUCGUGAGUUCCUCGGAAGUGCGGAACAGUCGCUGAGACGCAGCGCAGGCUUCAGUAGAAACACAGAGGAGGAGAGGAAGCGGAGGGGAGGGCGGGGUGAUGGCGGCGACGGCGGAGGGAGCUGGUGGCCCCUGUGUGUGGUUUUUGUUGCCGCGUAGGGUGCGCAACAGUCUUUGGCUGUGUGGUCUUUUUUCGUCACCAUCCCCCUGCUUUUUUUCUUCGUCUCUCUGUUCCCUUCCUCUUUGAUCCUCCUAUCUCGACAUGGGCGCUGCGGCGUUUCGCUUCAGCGGGACCGGGGGGCGAGGCCGUCGUCAUCCAUCCCGCCGCUCAACCCGAGCCUCACCUUCUACCUCUCCAACACGGAGAGCCGCACCAAGGCCCAGAGAGGCGCCUGGCACCGAUGGCAGCCGUAGCACUCAGCCUCUGGCGUUUCUCGCAAACCACACGAGUCGCAGCAUUCUUGACUAUCCCUCCUCAGCUUCCUCGUUUCUGUCUCCGUCGCUGACGUCCUCGAGCUCGCAGGAGGCUGUGGCGGCAUCGGAAGCCUCCGGCGCGACAAGAGCUCGUUCGCCGGAUGGCCGUUCAGGUUCCCCCGCGAUACAGUCUUCUGUUGCUAGUGACAGCAGUAAUGACCAGAGGUGCAAAGGGCCAUUCAUCGCGAGGCGCCGAGCAUCGGCUACCGCGCGCGCUGUGCAAGAUGACAUCGAAAAACAAGAACGGACGCAACAUCGGAAUUGGAAUGGGUGACGGCGCUGUGCCACUGGAGGAGCACACGGCGGUCUUGUUGACGGCCCUCAUGAGGCCGUACUGUUGUCUGAGGCAGCGUGUAUGCGGUGCAUCCAUGACGCCAACCACCUCGUCGUUCUCGUGGACGCUCGAUCAGCAGCUUGGCACGGGCGGCAACCCAGACGGUGUUGUCCACGGCUACCACCAGGUUACUCACAGGAGCGCUGACGCCUUGGCCUUGGCGCCCUUGCUCGAGCCGUUCGUUUUCGAACCGGCCCAGCCGCGGAGGCCGAAGGCAAGCGCCGGGACUGCGACGACUUCCUCCGCAACUACGUGGAUGCCUUCCAUGACGGCGUGCUUUGACGAGGGCCUCCUCUACCGUGUGGAAUGGAGGAGAGCCGAGGGUGCCGACGCGGCUGCAACCGAGGUGGUUGGUGGCAAGAACACUCACGUUCUCUGGUGCUUCUUCAACGCCACUCAUGUCUACACGAUGGAAAUCCACGUCUCUUUCCCAGUAUCGGCGAGCUGGACAACAGCAGAACCUUUGCCACUGAAGGCGCUGGGGAUGACGCAGCUGGAGUGGGCGGACGCGCAGGAGGAUCCGGGCUCUCCGCUGUGGCAUCGGCGACGGCUCCUCGUCGCUCGGGCAGCGUGCCCGCCCCUGACCUGCGUGGCAUUUGUCGAGGGUACCGUGGGGCCCUUUCGCACCGCCGUUCGCGCUGUCCCGUUGUCCACGGACGCCCCUUUAUCGGUGCCGUCGCCCACCUCGACGUGGCGCGCACGCCUCGAAGCCGAGCUGCACCGCCUUCCUCGCCCUCUUGCUGCCAUGGCAGCGCCUGUCGCUCUCAGCGGAAACUCUGUCACCGAGGCCGUCCUGAACGCCUGCGUGGCUGCCAACAUUCCCUUCGUGGACGCAGAGUUCCUCGGGGGAGAGAUGGCGCUGUGCGGGACUGGAAAGCGCUGUACCGGCUCCGUCGGCCACGACGGUGCCCCGUUCACGUCGCCGUUCUCAGUGAGUCAUCACUUUAGCGAAGGACUCGAUAAGAAACCUGUUGCCUGGGCUCGCGCCUCCGACCUUGUGCGGCGUCUUUUUGGCGAGCCAAACACCCAUUCUGCCCUCCAGCCCCACGUCUUCUUUCUCCCCCUCCGCCUGGUCAUCAUUGAACCCGGCGAGCUUGGCGACAGCUGGGUGAUUGGCGCCGUGGCGGCGGUAGCGGAGCACACGCAUCACCUCCUCCGCAUGUUCCGCCACCCCCGCAGCCAGCAACAGGGGGCCGCCGAACAGCUCCUCGGCGCGUAUCGCGUGACGCUGAAUGUGCGAGGGUGGUGGCGCAGCGUCGUGGUCGACGACUACUUCCCGAUGAUAGAGGGGGGCAGUUACAUCAAUUGCGCGCACAGUCGCCGCGAUGUGCGGGAGCUGUGGGUGCCGCUGCUGGAAAAGGUGUACGCUAAGAUGCGUGGCGGCUACUGCAACAUCAUCACUGGCGAUCCGCUCAUGGCUCUGCGUGACUUCACCGGUUGGCCGUGCGCCCGCUACGACAUCUCACACUUCGACAUUUCUGUGGUGUCGUCCAGCUUUGCGUCGCGACUCAUGCGGUACGACCGGUACGGGUUUCAGGUCAUCCUGCACACGGCUCCCCGCUUCGACCCUGAUGCUGUGAUGCUCCAGACCGACGUAGGUAUCUCACGAGCAGAGAUGUCUCUGCCUUCUGCGGCGGAGGCUUCCGGACGCGGCGCGUGCGCUGAUGCAGGCGCGGCUCACGGGCUCCUCGCCGGCAUGGUGUACCCCGUCAUGCGCAUCUUGCGGUUCAACGUCGAUUCGUUUUGUACCGAGCUGACGCUGCUCCAAGUGCGGAAUCCGUGGGGAGACGUAGCGGCGUGGAAAGGAAAGUGGCGAUGUGGCAGUCGCCUCUGGGAGCAGUGGCCGCAUGUUGCCGCGGCAUGUGACAUGCAGGAGUGCCUGCAUCGCGACGGCAGUGGCGGCAUGACGUCGCCAAGGCGCGAUCUCCGAGACAGAUGUGCGGCACCGGUGGCGCCGCAGACAGCCGCCACGGCUGCUGGCGCCACCACUACCGCGUGCGCCUGUCGCCACAACCAGUACAUCUGGGUAGAGUGGUCAGAGGUGUACCAGCACUUCUCCGGCUGCGGCGUCAUGUUCCGACUCCCCCUUCACCACGACUAUCGCGUAAAAGGGGUGUUCGAAACUACCUGCCCAUCUGUAUGCGUGCGGGUGUCGGUCGCGGCGCGCACCUUCAUGGGCGCCAUGCUCUCUAUGAGCGAUACAGUCGGGGAUAGGUCCUUGGCGGCGACGGACACGGAGGACGCGAGCACAUACCCGCCCAUCAUGCUCACGCUGGCGCGAGAGGAAGCUGGCGUGCUGCACGUCGUGCGCAACUCGCAGACUGACCCUGACAAUCCGACAACGCGCUUUACCUUUAUGCAAACUCUCGACGCGAGUCUCUUCUACCCACUGACGCCGGAGGACUCGCCAUACUGGCUGAUCCCUCGGGUCCUCGCACCCCAGGUGUCCAACGCUGCUGCCGCUGCUGAUGGCGGCGCGAAUGCCCCGGCACCGCAUCCUCCACGGCUACCGUAUGUGCUUGGCCUCUUCCAAGAGAAGCCAGCAGGAGAAAACGGGUGGCGAGCCGAAUUCUACCAUCUGCCGCCGACAUCCGCAGUCUUUCAGAACCACACGUCGUUUUCUCUGGGCAGCGACGUGCAGGCAGUGGCGACCAUGUUCCAGGCCAAGGCACCUCACGCGGCCUUCCCGAAAACUUAUGUGCACACGGAUGUAUCAGAGCGGGAAGCAACACCGGUGGACGUGUUUGUUCAUACUGCUCAGACGUGACGGUGACGCGCAUGCGCUCAUGUCGCAACACAAGCGCCUUUUUUUCUGCCCAUCUCUCAUCACGACUUGUGGGUGUGCCGCCGUUGGCAGUGCAGCGCCUCUCCUUUUCGUCGUUGCUGUUCCUCAGGCUCUCAUAGUACUGGACUUGGCCGAGUGCUAUCUGUUUUCCUCCACCUCGCACACACUCUCUCUGCUCGCCAUGUCUCUUUUCAUCUCCUUUUGCGCUCCGUGAUGUGCACACCACCGUUUUUUUUUUUUUUGCAUCCUCCCCGCCGGCCUCCUCAUCGCGCACGUCUUCUUUUUGUCUUGCCUCCUCCACCCCUCCCACCGCCACCACCACCACCACCACCACCACCACCACCACCACCAAACGCAACAGCAAUGGCAGUGGCACGUGCUGCAGUUGGGCCGUGGCUGUGGUGGUGGACGAGGGAAUGCGGAGCCAGUGGAGGCUGGCCUCUUUUCGUGCGUGCGUGGCUUCUGUGCUUGCGUUUGCGCAAGAGGGGACUGCUGCCCAGAGCGGGGCGGUGAGGUCAAGGGUCUGACCCGUCUCUUGGCCAAGAGAAUGAGCGAAGAGGCGGGAAGAAGCGAGCUUCACUCCGCUUUCGCGCAGCAGCACCGUGGCACAUGGACAACCUCAUGAAGGCUUGCACGGGGGGAUGCGGUGUAGCUGGCAAGGAAC